This 253-nucleotide ribosomal RNA is filed under the name uncultured bacterium. RNAcentral's name for it is "partial 16S ribosomal RNA". It matches the Rfam family "Bacterial small subunit ribosomal RNA", at positions 524 to 776 of the family's 1533-position model. The record is from RNAcentral.
GACGAGGGGUCCUAGCGGUGUUCGGAAUCAUUGGGCGUAAAGCGGGUGUAGGCGGCCUUGUAAGUCAGGAGUGAAAGCCCUGGGCUCAACCCAGGAAGUGCUUUUGAAACUGCAUGGCUUGAGUAUCGGAGAGGGUAGUGGAAUUCCUGGUGUAGUGGUGAAAUACGUAGAUAUCAGGAGGAACAUCGGUGGCGAAGGCGGCUACCUGGCCGAAUACUGACGCUGAGAUCCGAAAGCGUGGGGAGCAAACAGG